This 143-nucleotide non-coding RNA is filed under the name Pseudobacillus badius. RNAcentral's name for it is "Bacillus badius FMN sequence". It matches the Rfam family "FMN riboswitch aptamer (RFN element)". Rfam says of the family: The RFN element is a highly conserved domain that is found frequently in the 5'-untranslated regions of prokaryotic mRNAs that encode for flavin mononucleotide (FMN) biosynthesis and transport proteins. This element is a metabolite-dependent riboswitch that directly binds FMN in the absence of proteins. Lineage: Bacteria; Bacillati; Bacillota; Bacilli; Caryophanales; Bacillaceae. The record is from RNAcentral.
UGUAUCCUUCGGGGCGGGGUGAAAUUCCCCACCGGCGGUGAUGAGCUAAUGCUCUUAGUCCGUGACCCGUGUUCGUUUUCGAACCGGUGGAUUCGGUGAAAUUCCGAAGCCGACAGUGAUAGUCUGGAUGGGAGAAGGAUGAA